CCUACGGGAGGCUGCAGUGAGGAAUAUUGGUCAAUGGGCGCUAGCCUGAACCAGCGAAGUAGCGUGAAGGAUGGCUGCCCUAGGGGUGGUAAACUUCUUUUAUAUGGGAGUAAAGUGCAGGUUGUAUACUGCUUUGCAUGUACCUUAUGAAUAAGGAUCGGCUAAAUCCGUGCCAGCAGCCGCGGUAAUACGGAGGAUCCGCGCGUUAUCCGGAUUUAGUGGGUUUAAAGGGAGCUUAGGCGGGUUGUUAAGUCAGUUGUGAACGUUUGCGGCUCAACCGUAAGAUUGCAUUUGAUACUGGCAUCCUUGAGUACAGUAGAGGUAGGUGAAAUUCGUGGUGUAGCGGUGAAAUGCGUAGAUAUCACGAAGAACUCCGAUUGCGAAGGCAGCCUGCUGGACUGUAACUGACGCUGAUGCUCGAAAGUGUGGGUAUCAAACAGGAUUAGAUACCCUUGUAGUC
This 460-nucleotide ribosomal RNA is filed under the name uncultured bacterium. RNAcentral's name for it is "partial 16S ribosomal RNA". It matches the Rfam family "Bacterial small subunit ribosomal RNA", at positions 338 to 795 of the family's 1533-position model. The record is from RNAcentral.